This 374-nucleotide ribosomal RNA is filed under the name Staphylococcus aureus. RNAcentral describes it as "partial 23S ribosomal RNA". It matches the Rfam family "Bacterial large subunit ribosomal RNA", at positions 2282 to 2655 of the family's 2925-position model. The record is from RNAcentral. Lineage: Bacteria; Bacillati; Bacillota; Bacilli; Caryophanales; Staphylococcaceae.
GUCGCCUCCUAAAAGGUAACGGAGGCGCUCAAAGGUUCCCUCAGAAUGGUUGGAAAUCAUUCAUAGAGUGUAAAGGCAUAAGGGAGCUUGACUGCGAGACCUACAAGUCGAGCAGGGUCGAAAGACGGACUUAGUGAUCCGGUGGUUCCGCAUGGAAGGGCCAUCGCUCAACGGAUAAAAGCUACCCCGGGGAUAACAGGCUUAUCUCCCCCAAGAGUUCACAUCGACGGGGAGGUUUGGCACCUCGAUGUCGGCUCAUCGCAUCCUGGGGCUGUAGUCGGUCCCAAGGGUUGGGCUGUUCGCCCAUUAAAGCGGUACGCGAGCUGGGUUCAGAACGUCGUGAGACAGUUCGGUCCCUAUCCGUCGUGGGCGUA